UUGCUAGCUCAAUUAUCAUAUCCUACUCUGUCCCCCAAACUGGAUCUUUGGAUAUAAAUACAACCACUGAAACUACGUCCUUCCUACUCUGUCCAACUUCUCAAGAUGGAUCUUCAGUAAGGAUUUCCCACUCUCUACCACAUUCCCAUUACGCUCAAUUACAUAAAUUUCACAUCCAACAUAAUAUAAUACAUACAACACAAAAAGUAAUGGUAAGCUACCAUAAAAAAAAUAAUUUUAA
Molecule: long non-coding RNA, 241 nt
Filed under: Vigna radiata
Lineage: Eukaryota; Viridiplantae; Streptophyta; Magnoliopsida; Fabales; Fabaceae
Description: long non-coding RNA (VRAD_LNC016971)
Source: RNAcentral